GACGAACGCUGGCGGCGUGCUUAACACAUGCAAGUCGAACGGAAAGGCCCUGCUUUUGUGGGGUGCUCGAGUGGCGAACGGGUGAGUAACACGUGAGUAACCUGCCCUUGACUUUGGGAUAACUUCAGGAAACUGGGGCUAAUACCGGAUAGGGGCUCCUGCUGCAUGGUGGGGGUUGGAAAGUUUCGGCGGUUGGGGAUGGACUCGCGGCUUAUCAGCUUGUUGGUGGGGUAGUGGCUUACCAAGGCUUUGACGGGUAGCCGGCCUGAGAGGGUGACCGGCCACAUUGGGACUGAGAUACGGCCCAGACUCCUACGGGAGGCAGCAGUGGGGAAUAUUGCACAAUGGGCGGAAGCCUGAUGCAGCAACCCCGCGUGCGGGAUGACGGCCUUCGGGUUGUAAACCGCUUUCGCCUGUGACGAAGCGUGAGUGACGGUAAUGGGUGAAGAAGCACCGGCUAACUACGUG
This 468-nucleotide ribosomal RNA is filed under the name uncultured bacterium. Its description in RNAcentral is "partial 16S ribosomal RNA". It matches the Rfam family "Bacterial small subunit ribosomal RNA", at positions 28 to 507 of the family's 1533-position model. The record is from RNAcentral.